This 253-nucleotide ribosomal RNA is filed under the name uncultured bacterium. RNAcentral's name for it is "partial 16S ribosomal RNA". It matches the Rfam family "Bacterial small subunit ribosomal RNA", at positions 524 to 776 of the family's 1533-position model. The record is from RNAcentral.
UACGUAGGGCGCAAGCGUUGUCCGGAAUUAUUGGGCGUAAAGAGCUCGUAGGUGGUUUGUUACGUCUGCUGUGAAAACCUAGGGCUUAACUCCGGGCCUGCAGUCGAUACGGGCAGACUGGAGUUCGGCAGGGGAGACUGGAAUUCCUGGCGUAGCAGUGAAAUGCGUAGAUAUCAGGAGGAACACCCGUGGCGAAGGCGGCCAUCUGGACCAGCACUGACGCUGAGGCACGAAAGCGUGGGGAGCAAACAGG